UCUUGGUUAUAAAUCAAUUAAUAAUUUAAUUUACCAGAGUACUAUGAAUCAUUAUAAAAUUUAAAACUCAAAGGGCUUGGCGGUGUUUUAGACCACUUAGGGGAACCUGUCUCAUAAUCGAUAAUCCACGAGAUACCUGACUUUUUUUUGUAUUCAGCUUGUAUACCGUUGUCGUCAGGUAACUUUUUAGAAAUUAGAAGUUAGCUAUCAGCUAUAUAAGCUUAAACGUCAAAUCAAGGUGCAGCCCAUAAAAGAGGGAGGAUGGGUUACAAUUAUAAAUUCAUAAUACGAAGAACUAUAAGAAUAAAUAGUUAUGAAGGAGGACUUAAAAGUAAAAAGAUAUAGAUAAAUAUUUUGAAUAAGGCUCUGAAACGUGC
Molecule: ribosomal RNA, 377 nt
Filed under: Carinodrillia dichroa
Lineage: Eukaryota; Metazoa; Mollusca; Gastropoda; Neogastropoda; Pseudomelatomidae
Description: partial small subunit ribosomal RNA
Source: RNAcentral